UGGGCCGGCUUCCUCGCGGGGAGGUCAGUGGAGGCAGAAUCGGUCUCUUCGGGUAGCAACGGCACCGGCACCCUCAGCACUUUGGCGUGGGUUGUUCCUUGACCCGGAGAAGACCAGGGGAGCCCCCGGUGAGGGGAAGGUAUUUCAGGCCCUGGACUGCUUUGUAGGAACACUGCCACAUCUCCCACGAUGCCUGUGGAGGAACCUGACAGACCAUCUUCAUGUGGGAUAAAUGCGACCAGCUGGAAUGUCCAGAUGGAAUUUAUAUAGGUACCAGCUUAUGAUUGAUCCUCCUGAGAAUACGGCUGAAGCCUGGAAGACUUCAGGGUACCCAGGGUACACCAGACGACCUGGGUGACUCCUUCAGGUCAGCUGGAGACCCUGAUGCUGGUGUUGAUGGAGCUCAGAUUGAAAAAGAUGCUCAGGUAUGUCCAACUUAAAGAACUCGGGUGUGUGGAAGCUGAAAGGGGCCCAGACUCUGAAGAAGUGUCUUCUUUUUACUGUCUGGGUCCCCCGCCCCCCACUUUCUGGUUGAAGCUAUAUAAAAUUAUAGAUUGGACAGAAUAAAUAUCUAAAUUUUAGAAAAGGCAAAAUACAUAUAUUUGGGUUUAAAAUCUAGUAGGAGCACAAGUUCUGGUCAGAAACCCAAAACUCCUCACUUAAAAAAAAUAAAAAUGAGGUGACCUUGACUUUAACUUUGCAACUGAUGCUGCUCUGGCCACACCUGCUUGGCUAGCAUCUUUUUUUUAAAGAUUUAUUUAUUUAUGCAUACAGAACUGGGGUAGAGGCCAUAGGUAUACAGGGGUGUAAGAGUAUUCAACAGAGACAGAGUGGGGAGCAGAACAGGCAGAUAGACAAA
Long non-coding RNA from Condylura cristata (star-nosed mole), 859 nucleotides. RefSeq lists it as uncharacterized. The record is from RefSeq and is a predicted model, not a curated record. The transcript is spliced from 7 exons. Lineage: Eukaryota; Metazoa; Chordata; Mammalia; Eulipotyphla; Talpidae.